GACGAACGCUGGCGGCGUGCUUAACACAUGCAAGUCGAACGAGAAAGCCCUUCGGGUAAGUACAGUGGCGAACGGGUGAGUAACACGUGGGCAACCUGCCCCAGAGAGCGGGACAACCCGGGGAAACCCGGGCUAAUACCGCAUGAUGCGUCUCCACUUAAGUGGAGCCGCCAAAUGGUAGCUUCGGCCUCCGCUCUGGGAUGGGCCCGCGCCGGAUUAGCUAGUUGGUUGGGGUAACGGCCCACCAAGGCGACGAUCCGUAGCUGGUCUGAGAGGACGAUCAGCCACACUGGGACUGAGACACGGCCCAGACUCCUACGGGAGGCAGCAGUGGGAAUCUUGCGCAAUGGGCGAAAGCCUGACGCAGCAACGCCGCGUGGGGGAAGAAGGCCUUCGGGUUGUAAACCUCUUUCAGUAGGGACGAAGCUUCCGGGGUUAAUAGCCUACGGGGUGACGGUACCUACAGAAGAAGCCCCGGCUAACUACGUGCCAGCCGCCGCCGUAA
Molecule: ribosomal RNA, 505 nt
Filed under: uncultured bacterium
Lineage: Bacteria
Description: partial 16S ribosomal RNA
Rfam family: Bacterial small subunit ribosomal RNA
Source: RNAcentral